AGGACGAACGCUGGCGGCGUGCUUAACACAUGCAAGUCGAACGGUGACGCUGGAGCUUGCUCCAGCUGAUCAGUGGCGAACGGGUGAGUAACACGUGAGCAACCUGCCCUUGACUCUGGGACUAACCCCGGGAAACGGAGCUAAUACCGGAUACGAACCGCACAGGCAUCCGCGCGGUUGGAAAGAUUUAUCGGUCAAGGAUGGGCUCGCGGCCUAUCAGCUUGUGGUGGGUAAUGGCCCACGAAGGCGACGACGGGUAGCCGGCCGUGAGACGGGCGACCGGCCACGACGUGGGACUGGAGACGACGGCCCAGACCUACCGUACGGGAGCCAGCCAGGUGGGAAUAUUGACGACAAGUGGGACGAAGCCGU
This 372-nucleotide ribosomal RNA is filed under the name uncultured soil bacterium. Its description in RNAcentral is "bacterial SSU rRNA". It matches the Rfam family "Bacterial small subunit ribosomal RNA", at positions 26 to 385 of the family's 1533-position model. The record is from RNAcentral.